AGCACGGGAGCUUGCUCCUGGUGGCGAGUGGCGAACGGGUGAGUAAUACAUCGGAACGUACCCUGAAGUGGGGGAUAACGUAGCGAAAGUUACGCUAAUACCGCAUAUUCUGUGAGCAGGAAAGAGGGGGAUCGCAAGACCUCUUGCUUUAGGAGCGGCCGAUGUCGGAUUAGCUAGUUGGUGAGGUAAAGGCUCACCAAGGCGACGAUCCGUAGCGGGUCUGAGAGGAUGAUCCGCCACACUGGGACUGAGGCACGGCCCAGACUCCUACGGGAGGCAGCAGUGGGGAAUUUUGGACAAUGGGCGCAAGCCUGAUCCAGCCAUGCCGCGUGAGUGAAGAAGGCCUUCGGGUUGUAAAGCUCUUUCGGUGGGGAAGAAAUUGCUUCGGAUAAUACCUGGAGUAGAUGACGGUACCCGCAUAAGAAGCACCGGCUAACUACGUGCCAGCAGCCGCGGUAAUACGUAGGGUGCGAGCGUUAAUCGGAAUUACUGGGCGUAAAGCGUGCGCAGGCGGUUGUAUAAGUCAGAUGUGAAAUCCCCGGGCUCAACCUGGGAACUGCAUUUGAGACUGUACGGCUAGAGUUUGGCAGAGGGGGGUGGAAUUCCACGUGUAGCAGUGAAAUGCGUAGAGAUGUGGAGGAACACCGAUGGCGAAGGCAGCCCCCUGGGCCAAUACUGACGCUCAUGCACGAAAGCGUGGGGAGCAAACAGGAUUAGAUACCCUGGUAGUCCACGCCCUAAACGAUGUCAACUAGGUGUUGGAAGGGUUAAACCUUUUAGUGCCGUAGCUAACGCGUGAAGUUGACCGCCUGGGGAGUACGGCCGCAAGGCUAAAACUCAAGGAAUUGACGGGGACCCGCACAAGCGGUGGAUGAUGUGGAUU
Molecule: ribosomal RNA, 883 nt
Filed under: uncultured bacterium
Lineage: Bacteria
Description: bacterial SSU rRNA
Rfam family: Bacterial small subunit ribosomal RNA
Source: RNAcentral